RNAcentral lists this ribosomal RNA (382 nucleotides) under Ulva sp. Its description in RNAcentral is "partial small subunit ribosomal RNA". It matches the Rfam family "Eukaryotic small subunit ribosomal RNA", at positions 587 to 975 of the family's 1831-position model. The record is from RNAcentral. Lineage: Eukaryota; Viridiplantae; Chlorophyta; Ulvophyceae; Ulvales; Ulvaceae.
AGCUCCAAUAGCGUAUAUUUAAGUUGUUGCAGUUAAAAAGCUCGUAGUUGGAUUUCGGGUGGGACGCAGCGGUCUCGCAUUGCGUUUGUACUGCUGCAGCCCUCCUUCUUGCCGGGGGCGGCCCAUCGGACUUCAUUGUCUGGGGGUCAGAAUCGGCGAUGUUACUUUGAGUAAAUUAGAGUGUUCAAAGCAAGCUUACGCUCUGAAUAUAAUAGCAUGGGAUAACACGACAGGACUCUGGCCUAUCGUGUUGGUCUAUAGGACCAGAGUAAUGAUUAAGAGGGACAGUCGGGGGCAUUCGUAUUCCGUUGUCAGAGGUGAAAUUCUUGGAUUUACGGAAGACGAACAUCUGCGAAAGCAUUUGCCAAGGAUGUUUUCAUUG